UCUGCCCCCGUAAGUUCUGGGAGUUCUUCUGCUUCGAACCCCCAGGCCCCUGCUUCUGCGGAUGAACCCGCGCUCGGGGCAGGGCCUCGCCCGGUUUUCGCACCGGACGCCAUUCCAUGUUCGUCGACUCCGGACGAACUUCUUCUGAUAAGGGCUCGGUACGGGGUUCCUUCAGAGUACGACCUGGAGCUUCCUGGCCCCUCCGACCGGGCCAGCGCUCCCCCUCCUGGUCGCUUUUGUUUGUACCAGG
RNAcentral lists this long non-coding RNA (250 nucleotides) under Elaeis guineensis (African oil palm). RNAcentral's name for it is "long non-coding RNA (EGUI_LNC035094)". The record is from RNAcentral. Lineage: Eukaryota; Viridiplantae; Streptophyta; Magnoliopsida; Arecales; Arecaceae.